Molecule: ribosomal RNA, 186 nt
Filed under: uncultured Bacteroidota bacterium
Lineage: Bacteria; Pseudomonadati; Bacteroidota
Description: uncultured Bacteroidetes bacterium partial 16S ribosomal RNA
Rfam family: Bacterial small subunit ribosomal RNA
Source: RNAcentral
UGCAAUCUACCUUUUACAGGGGAAUAGCCCAGAGAAAUUUGGAUUAAUGCCCCAUGGUAUUAUAGAAUGGCAUCAUUUUAUAAUUAAAGUCACAACGGUAAAAGAUGAGCAUGCGUCCCAUUAGCUAGUUGGUAAGGUAACGGCUUACCAAGGCUAUGAUGGGUAGGGGUCCUGAGAGGGAGAUCC